RNAcentral lists this long non-coding RNA (253 nucleotides) under Heterocephalus glaber (naked mole-rat). RNAcentral describes it as "lncRNA (ENSHGLG00000036860.1)". Lineage: Eukaryota; Metazoa; Chordata; Mammalia; Rodentia; Bathyergidae. The record is from RNAcentral.
AAUAAAGUCAGUAAUAUUCUGCUUAUUUUAUGGUUGAGCAAACAGACUUGGAACCAUGUGUUCUGCGUUUCUAUUAAUGAAAUCCAGUCUUGUCCUGGCACUGAUUAACAAUCCGCUCUGCAGACAGACACCUCUGUACACAGUAAUCCCAUGCACAGAGCCUUCCAUGUGAAAUCACCAGACCUCCCGUGUUCCCUACACCUUGCAAAUAUGGACCUAAGGGACAGUUCACACAUCAGGUUUUGAUUCUCAG